Molecule: small nucleolar RNA, 85 nt
Organism: Athene cunicularia (burrowing owl)
Lineage: Eukaryota; Metazoa; Chordata; Aves; Strigiformes; Strigidae
Product: small nucleolar RNA SNORD45
Source: Ensembl
GGUCCGUGAGGAGUGUUGGCAUGUAUUAUCUGCUCUGAAAUUAAUAUUUAUCACCAUUUUAGCUCAAAAAUUACUCUGAGAACCA